Molecule: non-coding RNA, 172 nt
Filed under: pig gut metagenome
Description: Lysine riboswitch
Rfam family: Lysine riboswitch aptamer
About the family: Riboswitches are metabolite binding domains within certain messenger RNAs that serve as precision sensors for their corresponding targets. Allosteric rearrangement of mRNA structure is mediated by ligand binding, and this results in modulation of gene expression.
Source: RNAcentral
GAGAUAGAGGUAGCGCUUCGUCAAGAGUAACCGAGUCCAAUGCCGUGCAGGGCAGGGCCGGAGAAAGGGGCGGGCGCCGAGGGCGGCUUUCACUGCAAGGGGAGCCGAGCCGGGCGGACAAACUAAGAGUUGUCCGACUGUCGCAAAUGGAACAAUUUGCGGAGAGCUAUCC